This 460-nucleotide ribosomal RNA is filed under the name uncultured bacterium. Its description in RNAcentral is "partial 16S ribosomal RNA". It matches the Rfam family "Bacterial small subunit ribosomal RNA", at positions 338 to 795 of the family's 1533-position model. The record is from RNAcentral.
CCUACGGGAGGCAGCAGUGAGGAAUAUUGGUCAAUGGGCGCGAGCCUGAACCAGCCAAGUCGCGUGAGGGAGGACGGCCCUACGGGUUGUAAACCUCUUUUGCCGGGGAGCAACGGGCGUCACGUGUGGCGCCACUGAGAGUACCCGGAGAAAAAGCAUCGGCUAACUCCGUGCCAGCAGCCGCGGUAAUACGGAGGAUGCGAGCGUUGUCCGGAUUUAUUGGGUUUAAAGGGUGCGUAGGCGGAUCGUUAAGUCAGUGGUCAAAUUGAGGGGCUCAACCCCUUCCCGCCAUUGAAACUGGCGAUCUUGAGUGGAAGAGAAGUAUGCGGAAUGCGUGGUGUAGCGGUGAAAUGCAUAGAUAUCACGCAGAACCCCGAUUGCGAAGGCAGCAUGCCGGCUUCCGACUGACGCCGAAGCACGAAAGCGUGGGGAUCGAACAGGAUUAGAUACCCGUGUAGUC